GGGUCAGUAGGUUGGUCGUGCCACCGGUACGUACUGGUCUCACUGAUUCCUCCUUCCUGAAGAACCGUAAUGCCAUUAAGUUGGUGUUGCGGGGAAACAGGACUGUUACUUUGAAAAAAUUAGAGUGUUUAAAGCAGGCUAACGCUUGAAUACAUUAGCAUGGAAUAAUGAAAUAGGACGAUCGAUCCUAUUUUGUUGGUUUCUAGGAUUGACGUA
This 216-nucleotide ribosomal RNA is filed under the name Glomeromycotina sp. RNAcentral describes it as "partial small subunit ribosomal RNA". The stretch from base 87 to 216 matches the Rfam family "Eukaryotic small subunit ribosomal RNA", at positions 733 to 864 of the family's 1831-position model. The record is from RNAcentral. Lineage: Eukaryota; Fungi; Glomeromycota.